AACGAACGCUGGCGGCAGGCCUAACACAUGCAAGUCGAACGCCGUAGCAAUACGGAGUGGCAGACGGGUGAGUAACACGUGGGAACGUACCCUUCGGUUCGGGAUAACUCAGGGAAACUUGAGCUAAUACCGGAUACGUCCGAGAGGAGAAAGAUUUAUUGCCGAGGGAUCGGCCCGCGUCUGAUUAGCUUGUUGGUGAGGUAACGGCUCACCAAGGCGACGAUCAGUAGCUGGUCNGA
RNAcentral lists this ribosomal RNA (239 nucleotides) under uncultured bacterium. RNAcentral's name for it is "partial 16S ribosomal RNA". It matches the Rfam family "Bacterial small subunit ribosomal RNA", at positions 29 to 295 of the family's 1533-position model. The record is from RNAcentral.